GCUUAGAAGCAGCCACCCUUUAAAGAGUGCGUAAUAGCUCACUGGUCAAGUGAUUCCGCGCCGACAAUGUAGCGGGGCUCAAGCACACCACCGAAGCUAUGGCAUUGAUACAUUGCCCGGCUGAUCCUCUUUUGGGGGUUCAGUCCAAGCGUAUUGAUGGGUAGGGGAGCGUCGUGUGGCGAGUGAAGCGGCGGAGUGAUCCAGUCGUGGAUGCCACACGAGUGAGAAUGCAGGCAUGAGUAGCGAAAGACGGGUGAGAAAC
This 262-nucleotide ribosomal RNA is filed under the name Ornithinimicrobium laminariae. RNAcentral describes it as "Ornithinimicrobium sp. Arc0846-15 partial 23S ribosomal RNA". It matches the Rfam family "Bacterial large subunit ribosomal RNA", at positions 1104 to 1329 of the family's 2925-position model. The record is from RNAcentral. Lineage: Bacteria; Bacillati; Actinomycetota; Actinomycetes; Micrococcales; Ornithinimicrobiaceae.